CGACGCCUCACUCCCACCAGCCCUUCGCUCCUCAAGCCUGUUCAAGGAAAGAAGUGAAUGUGCUUCAGCUGUGGGAGAGCCCGAGCUGGCCCCGGGCCAAAUGGGCAAAAUAGGCUUUAGCCAGAACUGUGGAGAGAGAGGGAAAGAGAGCCCGGGCCAGAGGCGGUUCAUUCUGGAAGCAGCACAGACCGGCGGGCCUUUCUACCCACAGGUCCGGCUAGAGCCUGGAAUGGCCACACCACCUGUUACAGCAAGGAGCAUCUACCAGACACCCUGCCCAGAGAGCAGAGAAGAUGCACCGUUCCGUCUUCCACCAUCUGCUUGUCUUGUUUCAAGAUGACAGGUGUCUCUGGCUCCUUUGGGAGUGAUCUUAAGUCGACGGAAAUCAUUCAGGUUCUUCAAACACAGCGGGACGGAGUGGGAAGAAGAUGCGCCGUGAUUUGGACAGGCUUGAGUCAAACCCUUCCUGGGUGCACGGCCUCCGGCAGGCCCCAGGCCUUCUGUGAGCCUCAUGCUCUGUGUCUGUAGAUGAGGCUGACGAUUCUCACGUUAGGACGUGAUGUGGGGAGCAUCGGAGGGUGAGCACUGAGUGCCCGGGGGUAGCAGCCAGGCACCAGUGCGAGCUGUCGAUGGUAGAACAGUGCUGAGUGUUCCAGUGAAGACACACGCAGCUGCUUGGCCAGUCUCAUCCGACCUGAGCACAGAAGCAGAGAGCAAGGAGGCUUCUGCUUCUCAGUUGGGCUCGUCUUUCCGCGGAUGCGCUCUCUACUACAUACGUGUAGACUCAGCUUUCCAAGGGACUCUGCAUUUUAAUUUGACGGAUUUUAGCAACUUGUAUUGCCUCUGUGAGCCUCAUUUAAUUAUUUUACAAAUACCCAUCCACCUACCAGCACAGAGGAUUCCAUUUUCCAGGCCUGCCUCUCCGAUGGGUGGAGAAGGGGAGUGUGAGAGGGGCGUCUGAGGGGCUCCGCGGUUGAACCUCUGACUCUUGCUUUGGGCUCAGGUCGUGAUCUCAGGGUCCCGGGGUCGAGCCCUGCCCUUGGUGCUGAAUCUGCUUGAGACGAACUCUCCCUGACCCUCUACCUUUCCCCUGAUCAUGC
Molecule: long non-coding RNA, 1100 nt
Filed under: Mustela putorius furo (domestic ferret)
Lineage: Eukaryota; Metazoa; Chordata; Mammalia; Carnivora; Mustelidae
Description: lncRNA (ENSMPUG00000031888.1)
Source: RNAcentral